This 359-nucleotide transfer-messenger RNA is filed under the name Terriglobia. RNAcentral describes it as "Bog-366 sp020073545 Standard tmRNA". It matches the Rfam family "transfer-messenger RNA". From Rfam's summary of the family: Bacterial tmRNA, also known as 10Sa RNA or SsrA, is named for its dual tRNA and mRNA-like properties. Its role is to liberate the mRNA from a stalled ribosome. Lineage: Bacteria; Pseudomonadati; Acidobacteriota. The record is from RNAcentral. RNAcentral also lists the same sequence under 1 other name.
GGGGGCGUACCGGUUUCGACGGGAGCCCUUGCGCUUAGGAGGCAUGCCGGGGGUCCACACCACCCGUGAUCGGCGUGGGCCAAAGACAACUGCCAACACGCAGUAUGCCUACGCUGCCUAAUUAAUUAGGUAGCCGUCUCCUCCCUCAGGCCCGCAUAAGGGAACGAGGCGUCGAUUGGCGGGAUAGUCCUGGGUUUGCCGCCUGAGGACCUGGGAUGAGACUCUCCAGGCUAGUCGGCGGUUCGUUGUUGCCCGUUCCUGAGGGCCGCCGGCGAAAGCAGGAAGCGAACGAGAUAAGCAUGUAGGCUCCUAACCGUAAGACUCUUCGGACGGGGGUUCGACUCCCCCCGCCUCCACCA